Molecule: ribosomal RNA, 254 nt
Filed under: uncultured bacterium
Lineage: Bacteria
Description: partial 16S ribosomal RNA
Rfam family: Bacterial small subunit ribosomal RNA
Source: RNAcentral
UACAGAGGGUGCGAGCGUUGUUCGGAAUUACUGGGCGUAAAGCGCGCGCAGGCGGCUCUUUAAGUCUGACGGUGAAAUGCCGGGGCUCAACCCCGUGCCCGCCGCGGAUACUGGAGGGCUGGAGACACGUAGAGGCAAGCGGAAUUCCGGGUGUAGCGGUGGAAUGCGUAGAGAUCCGGAAGAACACCGGUGGCGAAGGCGGGUCUCUGGGCCGAUACUGACGCUGAGGAGCGAAAGCGUGGGGAGCGAACAGG